Molecule: ribosomal RNA, 163 nt
Filed under: Laser carduchorum
Lineage: Eukaryota; Viridiplantae; Streptophyta; Magnoliopsida; Apiales; Apiaceae
Description: Laserpitium carduchorum 5.8S ribosomal RNA
Rfam family: 5.8S ribosomal RNA
About the family: 5.8S ribosomal RNA (5.8S rRNA) is a component of the large subunit of the eukaryotic ribosome.
Source: RNAcentral
AAACGACUCUCGGCAACGGAUAUCCCGGCUCUCGCAUCGAUGAAGAACGUAGCGAAAUGCGAUACUUGGUGUGAAUUGCAGAAUCCCGUGAACCAUCGAGUCUUUGAACGCAAGUUGCGCCCGAAGCCAUUAGGCCAAGGGCACGUCUGCCUGGGCGUCACAC